UACGGGGGGGGCAAGCGUUGUUCGGAAUUACUGGGCGUAAAGGGUUCGUAGGUGGCCUGCUAAGUCAGACGUGAAAUCCCUCAGCUCAACUGGGGAACUGCGUCUGAGACUGGCAGGCUUGAGUGCAGGAGAGGAACGCGGAAUUCCAGGUGUAGCGGUGAAAUGCGUAGAUAUCUGGAGGAACACCGGUGGCGAAGGCGGCGUUCUGGACUGGUCCUGACACUCAGGAGCGAAAGCGUGGGGAGCGAUCCGG
RNAcentral lists this ribosomal RNA (253 nucleotides) under uncultured bacterium. Its description in RNAcentral is "partial 16S ribosomal RNA". It matches the Rfam family "Bacterial small subunit ribosomal RNA", at positions 524 to 776 of the family's 1533-position model. The record is from RNAcentral.